Molecule: non-coding RNA, 258 nt
Organism: Pelobates cultripes (western spadefoot toad)
Lineage: Eukaryota; Metazoa; Chordata; Amphibia; Anura; Pelobatidae
Source: the annotation of a GenBank genome assembly
GGUCCCCGUUCCAUCCUCUUGCCAGUGGUGGUUAUCCCGGCACCUGCUUACUGGCUUUGUGGCUGUACACACCCGUAUAGACUCCUGAUAUAGAUAUCUGUCUUAAUGUAAGACAAGCAAGAUGGCGGACGUGCCACUUUCACAAGAAACUACAAAUUCUCAUGGCCUAAUGGAGCAGUCCUUGCAAAGACUAGAGGACACUGCUGAUGCCACGAGAGGGAAACUUAAAAAGCAACAAUUCGGAGGUGAGCAAGGCCC